GUGCUCGCUUUGGCAGCACAUAUUCUAAAAUUGGAAUGAUAUAGAAAGGAUUAGCAUGGCCCCUGCACAAGAAUGAUACGCAAAUUUGCAAAGCGUUCCAUAUUUCU
Molecule: small nuclear RNA, 107 nt
Filed under: Salvator merianae (Argentine black and white tegu)
Lineage: Eukaryota; Metazoa; Chordata; Lepidosauria; Squamata; Teiidae
Source: RNAcentral